This 541-nucleotide ribosomal RNA is filed under the name Larimichthys crocea (large yellow croaker). Its description in RNAcentral is "partial 16S ribosomal RNA". It matches the Rfam family "Bacterial large subunit ribosomal RNA", at positions 601 to 1345 of the family's 2925-position model. The record is from RNAcentral. Lineage: Eukaryota; Metazoa; Chordata; Actinopteri; Sciaenidae.
GUACCUUUUGCAUCAUGAUUUAGCUAGAAAACCUCAAGCAAAGAGCACUUUAGUUUGACCCCCCGAAACUACGUGAGCUACUCCAAGACAGCCUAACAACUAGGGCAAACCCGUCUCUGUGGCAAAAGAGUGGGAAGAUCUUUGAGUAGAGGUGACAGACCUAUCGAACCUAGUUAUAGCUGGUUGCCUGAGAAAUGAAUAGAAGUUCAGCCUCUCGGAUUCUCCCCUCACCCCACCUCCCUCCCCCCGACAAUUAAAAGAAACCGAAAGAGUUAGUCAAAGGGGGUACAGCCCCUUUGACACAAGAUACAACUUUUCCAGGAGGGUAAAGAUCACAAUUCAACACCAAGGUAAAAUGUUUAGGUGGGCCUAAAAGCAGCCACCCCAUAGAAUGCGUUAAAGCUCAAACAUAACCACCACCCCCAAUCCUGAUAAUCUUAUCUUAACCCCCUAACCCUACCAGGCCGUUCCAUGCAAACAUGGAAGCGACCAUGCUAAUAUGAGUAAUAAGAGAAUAGUCAUCUCUCUCCUUGCACAAGUG